This 451-nucleotide ribosomal RNA is filed under the name uncultured bacterium. RNAcentral's name for it is "bacterial SSU rRNA". It matches the Rfam family "Bacterial small subunit ribosomal RNA", at positions 29 to 524 of the family's 1533-position model. The record is from RNAcentral.
AGCGAACGCUGGCGGCAGGCUUAACACAUGCAAGUCGAGCGCCCGUAGCAAUACGGGAGCGGCAGACGGGUGAGUAACACGUGGGAACGUGCCUUUUGGUUCGGAACAACUGAGGGAAACUUCAGCUAAUACCGGAUAAGCCCUUACGGGGAAAGAUUUAUCGCCAAAAGAUCGGCCCGCGUCUGAUUAGCUAGUUGGUGGGGUAAUGGCCCACCAAGGCUACGAUCAGUAGCUGGUCUGAGAGGAUGAUCAGCCACACUGGGACUGAGACACGGCCCAGACUCCACGGGAGGCAGCAGUGGGGAAUCUUGGACAAUGGGCGCAAGCCUGAUCCAGCCAUGCCGCGUGAGUGAUGAAGGCCUUAGGGUUGUAAAGCUCUUUCAGCGGGGAAGAUAAUGACGGUACCCGCAGAAGAAGCCCCGGCUAACUUCGUGCCAGCCGCCGCCGUAAU